AAUGGGUCAGCGACUUAUAUUCUGUAGCAAGGUUAACCGAAUAGGGGAGCCGAAGGGAAACCGAGUCUUAACUGGGCGUUAAGUUGCAGGGUAUAGACCCGAAACCCGGUGAUCUAGCCAUGGGCAGGUUGAAGGUUGGGUAACACUAACUGGAGGACCGAACCGACUAAUGUUGAAAAAUUAGCGGAUGACUUGUGGCUGGGGGUGAAAGGCCAAUCAAACCGGGAGAUAGCUGGUUCUCCCCGAAAGCUAUUUAGGUAGCGCCUCGUGAAUUCAUCUCCGGGGGUAGAGCACUGUUUCGGCAAGGGGGUCAUCCCGACUUACCAACCCGAUGCAAACUGCGAAUACCGGAGAAUGUUAUCACGGGAGACACACGGCGGGUGCUAACGUCCGUCGUGAAGAGGGAAACAACCCAGACCGCCAGCUAAGGUCCCAAAGUCAUGGUUAAGUGGGAAACGAUGUGGGAAGGCCCAGACAGCCAGGAUGUUGGCUUAGAAGCAGCCAUCAUUUAAAGAAAGCGUAAUAGCUCACUGGUCGAGUCGGCCUGCGCGGAAGAUGUAACGGGGCUAAACCAUGCACCGAAGCUGCGGCAGCGACACUAUGUGUUGUUGGGUAGGGGAGCGUUCUGUAAGCCUGUGAAGGUGUACUGUGAGGUAUGCUGGAGGUAUCAGAAGUGCGAAUGCUGACAUAAGUAACGAUAAAGCGGGUGAAAAGCCCGCUCGCCGGAAGACCAAGGGUUCCUGUCCAACGUUAAUCGGGGCAGGGUGAGUCGACCCCUAAGGCGAGGCCGAAAGGCGUAGUCGAUGGGAAACAGGUUAAUAUUCCUGUACUUGGUGUUACUGCGAAGGGGGGACGGAGAAGGCUAUGUUGGCCGGGCGACGGUUGUCCCGGUUUAAGCGUGUAGGCUGGUUUUCCAGGCAAAUCCGGAAAAU
RNAcentral lists this ribosomal RNA (932 nucleotides) under Escherichia coli. RNAcentral's name for it is "partial 23S ribosomal RNA". It matches the Rfam family "Bacterial large subunit ribosomal RNA", at positions 614 to 1550 of the family's 2925-position model. The record is from RNAcentral. Lineage: Bacteria; Pseudomonadati; Pseudomonadota; Gammaproteobacteria; Enterobacterales; Enterobacteriaceae.